GCCGGGUGCGGUGGUGCACGCCUGUAAUCCCAGCGGUUUAGGAGGCUGAGGCAGGAGGAUCUUGAAUUCAAAGCCAGCCUAAGCCAGAGCUAGCUCAGUGGCUGAGUGUCCCUGAGUUCAAUCCCUGGUCCCGCCCCGC
This 139-nucleotide small RNA is filed under the name Marmota monax (woodchuck). The record is from RNAcentral. Lineage: Eukaryota; Metazoa; Chordata; Mammalia; Rodentia; Sciuridae.